UUCAUUUUAUUUUCCUUAUUUUCUUUCCAUUUCCUUUCUUUUCUUGCUUCUUUCUUCUCCUAACUUCUUGAGCACCAAAACCCACAACUUUUAACCCUAAUUUUCAGCACAACCAAACCUUAGGAGAGAGAAAGAAAAAUCUCUCUUUCUUCCUUCAUUUUUAAAGCCAAAAGGUUUUAAUGGUAUUUCGAGACUACCUGGAUUAAGAUCUUGUGGGUGCUAGUCUUGUUAGGUGGCAUUGUCAAGAUUCAGAGGUAGUUGGGACCUAGAUUGAAGUGUCCAUUUGUAUUCGCCAUUUGGUAGGUACCAUGGCAUCCAGUAACAAUACCCACACCCAAAGUCACUCCAUUGAUAGUCAAGGUCUUUUGCAUAUGUAUAUAGUUGCUUAAAUGUAAAUUGUGAGAUUGUUGUGCACUCUGUAUGUUGGUUUGAUUAACCACGUCAUUGAGGGUUGACCAACGAUAACCCUAUUUUG
Theobroma cacao (cacao) is the source of this 475-nucleotide non-coding RNA. Lineage: Eukaryota; Viridiplantae; Streptophyta; Magnoliopsida; Malvales; Malvaceae. The record is from RefSeq and is a predicted model, not a curated record.